GCAGGCCUAACACAUGCAAGUCGAGCGGAUGAGAGGAGCUUGCUCCUGGAUUCAGCGGCGGACGGGUGAGUAAUGCCUAGGAAUCUGCCUGGUAGUGGGGGACAACGUUUCGAAAGGAACGCUAAUACCGCAUACGUCCUACGGGAGAAAGCAGGGGACCUUCGGGCCUUGCGCUAUCAGAUGAGCCUAGGUCGGAUUAGCUAGUUGGUGAGGUAAUGGCUCACCAAGGCGACGAUCCGUAACUGGUCUGAGAGGAUGAUCAGUCACACUGGAACUGAGACACGGUCCAGACUCCUACGGGAGGCAGCAGUGGGGAAUAUUGGACAAUGGGCGAAAGCCUGAUCCAGCCAUGCCGCGUGUGUGAAGAAGGUCUUCGGAUUGUAAAGCACUUUAAGUUGGGAGGAAGGGCAGUAAAUUAAUACUUUGCUGUUUUGACGUUACCGACAGAAUAAGCACCGGCUAACUCUGUGCCAGCAGCCGCGGUAAUACAGAGGGUGCAAGCGUUAAUCGGAAUUACUGGGCGUAAAGCGCGCGUAGGUGGUUCGUUAAGUUGAAUGUGAAAUCCCCGGGCUCAACCUGGGAACUGCAUCCAAAACUGGCGAGCUAGAGUAUGGUAGAGGGUGGUGGAAUUUCCUGUGUAGCGGUGAAAUGCGUAGAUAUAGGAAGGAACA
RNAcentral lists this ribosomal RNA (671 nucleotides) under Pseudomonas sp. RNAcentral's name for it is "bacterial SSU rRNA". It matches the Rfam family "Bacterial small subunit ribosomal RNA", at positions 42 to 708 of the family's 1533-position model. The record is from RNAcentral. Lineage: Bacteria; Pseudomonadati; Pseudomonadota; Gammaproteobacteria; Pseudomonadales; Pseudomonadaceae.